Non-coding RNA from Phrynosoma platyrhinos (Desert horned lizard), 72 nucleotides. The record is from the annotation of a GenBank genome assembly. Lineage: Eukaryota; Metazoa; Chordata; Lepidosauria; Squamata; Phrynosomatidae.
CCCAGUGUGGCAUAGUGGUUUCAGUGCUGGACUGUGACUCUAGUGACCAGGGUUUGAUUCCCUGCUCAGGCA